Molecule: unclassified non-coding RNA, 610 nt
Filed under: Talaromyces atroroseus
Lineage: Eukaryota; Fungi; Ascomycota; Eurotiomycetes; Eurotiales; Trichocomaceae
Description: sequence contains 18S rRNA gene, ITS1, 5.8S rRNA gene, ITS2, 28S rRNA gene
Rfam family: 5.8S ribosomal RNA (bases 230-383)
Source: RNAcentral
AGUCGUAACAAGGUUUCCGUAGGUGAACCUGCGGAAGGAUCAUUACUGAGUGCGGACCCCUCGCGGGUCCAACCUCCCACCCGUGUCUCUUGAAUACCCUGUUGCUUUGGCGGGCCCACCGGGUCGCCCCGGUCGCCGGGGGGCACUGCGCCCCCGGGCCUGCGCCCGCCAGAGCGCUCUGUGAACCCUAAUGAAGAUGGGCUGUCUGAGUGUGAUUUUGAAUUAUCAAAACUUUCAACAAUGGAUCUCUUGGUUCCGGCAUCGAUGAAGAACGCAGCGAAAUGCGAUAAGUAAUGUGAAUUGCAGAAUUCCGUGAAUCAUCGAAUCUUUGAACGCACAUUGCGCCCCCUGGCAUUCCGGGGGGCAUGCCUGUCCGAGCGUCAUUUCUGCCCUCAAGCGCGGCUUGUGUGUUGGGUGUGGUCCCCCCGGUGUUGGGGGGACCUGCCCGAAAGGCAGCGGCGACGUCCCGUCUAGGUCCUCGAGCGUAUGGGGCUUUGUCACCCGCUCGGGAGGGGCCUGCGGGCGUUGGCCACCCACGAUAUUUUUUUACCGUUGACCUCGGAUCAGGUAGGAGUUACCCGCUGAACUUAAGCAUAUCAAUAAGCGGAGG